Molecule: ribosomal RNA, 159 nt
Filed under: uncultured bacterium
Lineage: Bacteria
Description: partial 16S ribosomal RNA
Rfam family: Bacterial small subunit ribosomal RNA
Source: RNAcentral
UGAGGAAUAUUGGUCAAUGGGCGCGAGCCUGAACCAGCCAAGUCGCGUGAGGGAUGACGGUCCUACGGAUUGUAAACCUCUUUUGCCGGGGGAGCAAGCGUGCGUUCGUGAACGCACGUCGAGAGUACCCGGAGAAAAAGCAUCGGCUAACUCCGUGCC